RNAcentral lists this ribosomal RNA (752 nucleotides) under uncultured euryarchaeote. Its description in RNAcentral is "bacterial SSU rRNA". It matches the Rfam family "Archaeal small subunit ribosomal RNA", at positions 168 to 922 of the family's 1478-position model. Lineage: Archaea; Methanobacteriati; Methanobacteriota. The record is from RNAcentral.
GCCUGGAACGGUGGGUGGAUGAAAGCUCCGGGCGGCAUAGGAUGGGCUGCGGCGUAUCAGGUUGUAGGGGGUGUAAUGUGCCCUCUAGCCAUCUACGCGUACGGGUGUUGAGAGACAUCGCCCGGAGAUGGAUUCUGAGACACGAAUCCAGACCCUACGGGGUGCAGCAGGCGCGAAAACUUGGCAAUGCGAGCAAUCGUGACCAGGGAACUCCAAGUGCAUCGGGUAAGACCGAUGCUUUUCUUGACUCUUCAAAGGUCUUGGAAUAAGGGGUGGGUAAGGACGGUGCCAGCCGCCGCGGUAAUACCGGCGCCUCAAGUGGUAGUCGCUUUUAUUGGGCCUAAAACGUCCGUAGCCGGUUUGGUACAUUCGUGGGUAAACCAAGACGCUCAACGUCUUGAAUUCUGCGAGCACGGCCAGACUUGGGACCGGGUGAGGUGUGGGGUACUCUCAGGGUAGGGGUAAAAUCCUGUCAUCCUGAGAGGACCACCUGUUGCGAAGGCGCCACACUAGAACGGAUCCGACGGUCAGGGACGAAGCCUAGGGGCACGAACCGGAUUAGAUACCCGGGUAGUCCUAGGUGUAAACGCUGUGGACUUGAUGUUGGGAGUGCUCCGAGCGCCCUCAGUGUCGAAGCGAAGGUGAUAAGUCCACUGCCUGGGGAGUACGGUCGCAAGGCUGAAACUUAAAGGAAUUGGCGGGGGAGCACUGCAACCUGAGGAUUGUGCGGUUUAAUUGGAUUCAACGCCGGG